UGUCCGAUGCCACGUCGACGGUAGCUUAAGGGCAAUGAUCCUCGAUGCUACAUUGGACAUAAACAAAUGUACGUGUUUCGCUUACUGAUAGGAACCUGUGGAUCUUGAUUUUAUACGAUCUACGGAGCCAUUUUGGCGAUUACAUUA
Small nucleolar RNA from Arabidopsis lyrata subsp. lyrata, 147 nucleotides. It matches the Rfam family "Small nucleolar RNA snoR2/U65". NCBI's taxonomy places the organism in Eukaryota, Viridiplantae, Streptophyta, Magnoliopsida, Brassicales, Brassicaceae. The record is from Rfam.